Molecule: long non-coding RNA, 214 nt
Filed under: Setaria italica (foxtail millet)
Lineage: Eukaryota; Viridiplantae; Streptophyta; Magnoliopsida; Poales; Poaceae
Description: long non-coding RNA (SITA_LNC000345)
Source: RNAcentral
AUUGAUUGGCACGCCACGUGAACCGCACCAGGGCAAUAACCCGAGUAGGAGUUAAGCAGAUUCUCCCGGGCCGAUUUUCAGCGCCAACACACUUUUGCUAGUUUGGAGUGGAAGAGGUUAAAAAACUAGAAUCAAAAUCAGUAGCAUUUAACACUCACUUCAAAAACUUUAAGUGCUAAAAAUAGUGAAUUUCCCUAACUUUGCAGCCCAUUUU